CUUGAUCUGAGGGUCAGGGAGAAGCCGAGAUGAUGGAACUUCUAAGGCACAGCUAAUGGGACACCUCAAAUGGGAGAAAGAUCAAGUGGACCAUCCCUGGAGUUUGAAAUGAAUCUUCCAUCACCUGCAGUUGAAGUUCUGAUACCGGAGUUAAAGAAACAAGAUCUAGACACCUUCAAAGGCUUCUAGAGGUUGUAUUCAGUCACUGCAUUUUCCUCAGAAAAAGUACACAUUUGAAGAAGCAAUUGGAGUAAAUCAACAGGGUGAUGAUGAGGACAAAAAGGUACUUUGAGAAAAUACAGUAAAAGAUGAACUGAAAUGGGACAAGGAUAAUGAAGGAAGGAUUCGUAAAGAAGUUCGGAUCGCUUCCAGUGCCGACUUCAAGUACUGAGGUGGGAGCAACAGUUCUGGGGCCUUUAUUGAUGUCCAACAAUACCCAGAGACCCCCUUUUCCUGUACUUUCUUCUAAGAGAAGGAAACAUCUUCCAAAACCCCUCGGCAAAUUUCUCUUUGCAUCUCAUUAGCCCAAAGUGGGCCACAUGUUCAUUCCAGAAUCACCACCCAGAGAAACAUUUGACUUAGACCCCUCAGGGCUCAUCCUUGACUAAGAUCAGUUCUCUCAAUUGCAUGACUACUACAAAAUAAGGAGAGAUGGCGUGGACACUGAAGAACAACUAUAACUAUAACCCUCCCCUUUAGUUGCCCAAUAUUCAUAUGUAACCUCCAUGCUAUAUUACACACAACUCCAGAAAUCCCCAUGCCUAAUAAAAUGCACUUGGGCCCUUCUAAAAAAGUACCACCCGAACUUUAUCCAACUCUGUAUCCAGGUGCAAACCCAGGACCUCUGGGAGAUGUGUAGUCCCCUCCAUCGUCUGUUACUAGUAUGUACACUCGGAUUUAAAAGAAACUGGGUAGAGGAAUGAAGUGAUUAUUUCUUAUUAUGUAAGCUUGGAAAACUCUGAGUUUCAGUGUCCUCAUGUAUUCAAUGAUAAUAAUAAUGUCUCCUAU
Eptesicus fuscus (big brown bat) is the source of this 1008-nucleotide long non-coding RNA. RefSeq lists it as uncharacterized. The transcript has 4 exons. Lineage: Eukaryota; Metazoa; Chordata; Mammalia; Chiroptera; Vespertilionidae. The record is from RefSeq and is a predicted model, not a curated record.